UCCCUUCCUCUCUCCCAUCCUCUUUCUCUCUUUCUCUCCCUCACACUCCCUCUCCUCUCUUGCUCUGGGGAAGCAAGUCCUGUGAAGAGGCCCACAUGUCAAGGAACUGAGCCUCUGGCCGAAAGCCAGCAAGAAACCGAAACCUGCCAGCAACAAGAGUGAGCUUGGAAGCCAACUGUGCAGCCCCAGCUGGGCUUUGAGAUGACUGCAACCCCAGCCCACAGCUUGCCUGAAACCUCUCGAGAGGCCCUGAGCCAGAACCACCCAGCUGAGCCACUCCCUGAUUCCUGACCUCAGAAACUAUGUGAGGUCAUAGAUGUUUGCUGUUUAAGCUGCUGCAUUUUGAAGGAAUCUGUUACACAGCAAUAGAAAACUAAUACAGCCCUCUACAGAGCAAUUGAACAGAGUCAUUUUUGGAACUGUUGGUGGGAGGCUGGAGCGAUAGAAUGCAAAUAGCUGCUUCUCCUUACUUCUAUGAGCCUCUGUUUCCUCGUCGAAAAACAAGGGAAAGUCUGAUUGGGCAGUUCUCCUUAGAGGCUGUCCUCAAGACAGUGACUCAGGAUCUGGGCUGCUUCUGUAUUACGGCUCUGCCAUCUCCUAGUGCCUCCAUGGACUCCUCUGCUUGGUCAUCACUCAGCCAUCAAGUAAAGAGAGAGACAGCAAGGAGGAUCACCCAGGAUGUUUCAUAGACAAGUCUGGAAGUGGUGUACAUUACUUCCCUCCACAUGCCAUUGCCCAGAACAUGGUCAACUAACACCAGCCUAACAGCAAGCAGGACUGGGACACGAGUCUUAUCCAGAAAGAGGAAGUGGAAUUGACUCACUUUUGUACACCAUCUUCAUGCAAAUGGUGGAGCCCUCCUCAACUGGAACUGCCCUCAAUAAGUCAUAAUGUGGACUUUGACCUCUGACCACAUUUGGAAAGUGACCAAAUCAAGACAGAAAAAUCUAACUUGCCAAAGACCACAUAGGAAGUUCUUGGCAAAGUCAGAUGAGAAAACAGAGUUCAUGAACUUCAAGAGCCAACAUUUUUAACCACUGCCUCUGUUCCUUGUUUUGGGAACCCUUUUCCAAUAAAAAAAAAAGUAGAAAAUUCUAGAAUUUUCUUGCUUUUUUUCCAUGACCAAUUUAAUGGAGUGGUGGAAAGAGCUCUGCACUAGGAGUUAGAGACUUAGACUCUUUAAAAAAAACAAAAACAACUUUGUACAGUGCAACAUUUCAAUGAAUCCUUUGUCCCAUCGCUCAGCUUCAAGAAUCUUAAACUCAUAGCCUAUCUUAUUUCAACUAUAUCCCACUGAAUUCCUUCCUCUCACGUAAUUUUGAAGCAAAUCCCAGACAUCAUACCAUUUCAUCCAUAAAUAUUUCAGUAUGUAUCUCUAAAAGAUGUCUUUUUUUAAAAAACAUAACCACAAUACCACUAUCAUACCUAAAGCAUUUGAUAAUAAUUAUUUAAUACAAUAAAAUAUACAAUCUAUAUUCAACAUUCCCACUAUCUCAUAAAUAUAAUAAUUUUAACAGUUUGUUUGAAUCAAGAUCCAAAUAAAGUCCACUCAUUGUGAUUCACUAUAUGUCUGUAGGUCUUUUAAAAAUUUCUAGGCUUUCUCUCCAUAUCUUUUUUUGAUUUGUAACUUAUUUAUUGAAGAAACCAGGUCAUUGUCCUGGAGGCACAUAUUAAAUUUUGUUGAUGGCAACCCUGUGGUAUUAUUUAACAUGUUCCUCAAUUCUCUGGUUUUAAAUUGGUAGUUGAAUCAACAGGUCUGAAAAGAUUCAAAUUUGGCUGCCUUUGGCAAGAGUCUUUGAUAGAUGGGGUGUGUUUUCAUCAGGAGGCGAUAAUGUCCGUUUAUCUCCUGUUUUAUCAUGUUAGCACAUGUUGGUGCUCAAGGUCUAGGUUCAUUAAUUCAUUAAGGAUUGUAGAAUAAUGAUAUUAUAAUUCUGUUAGUCUGUCUUCAUUCCUUAGCCAGAAUAAAAAGAAAGUUUCCCUGGUUUACUAUAUAGCUCCCCAGAAGUACAAUUCAUAAAGCAAAGGCAGGAUAAGUGCUUAAUUCUUUCCUCUUUUUCUUUUUUUUUUUUUGGUGAAGAUUGGCUCUGAACUAACAUUUAUUUCCAAUCUUCCUCUUUUUGCUUGAAGAAGAUUGUCGCUGAGCUAACGUCUGUACCAGUCUUCCUCUAUUUUGCAUGUGGGACAGCACCACAGGAUGGCUGAUGAGUGGUGUGUAGGUCCUCCCAGGAUCUGAACCCAUGAACCCCAAGCCACCUGAAGUGGAGUGCACAAACUUAACCACUACGCCACUGGGCUGGCCCCUUAAGUCUUUCUUUUUACUAUUAAUUUUCAAAAUAAUGAAUUGGUUUACUAGUAUCAUACAAUGAUGACUAACUAGUUGUUAUUUUUUAGUAUCAUUAUGAACUCAUAGGAGUUUAUAGUUCACUAGAGGAAAUAGAUGUACAUUGACAAUUAUAAUACAACACGAUUUUGUGUUAUAGUAAAAGUAAGUAAACACUUCUAUGGGCAUCCAGAAGUGAGAGUAUCUAACUCUGCUUUAUGGGGUAUGACAAAGGCCUCAAAAAGGAGACAGUACUUGAGUUGAGUGCUGAGAGUUGGAGGUCACCAGGCACAGAAAAUCAAGAAUUUGUUCUCCCAUGACUAAUAAAACAUUAGCUGAGUCCACCUCUGCAAAUGGCUCCAAGCUUUUUUUUUUUUUUUUUUGCUGAGGAAGAUUCACUCUGAGCUAACAUCCACUGCCAGUCUUCCUCUUUUUGUAUGUGAGCUGCUGACAGAUGAGUGGUGUAUGUACAUGCCUGGGAACCGAACCUGGGCUGCCAAAGCAGCGCAUACCAAACUACACCACUAGGCCAUCGGGGCUUGCCCCAUUUCCAAGCUUUUUAUCUAGCACAGCUGAUGAGGUGGAAGGAAAUGAAUGAAAUUCACUAAGUCAGGAUAUAAAACGGGUAAGGAGGAAGAGUCAUGUGGUGGGAUGGGAACUGUAGGGAUGGGAUGAAGAAAUCAGCUCUUAUAUGUUGAGUUUGUGAUGCCUUUGGGAUAUCCAGGUAGAAAUGUUUGGCAGACAGCUGGAAAUAAGGUAUAAAGCACAGGAACACCAGCUGUCCAGACAGAUCAAUUUAAGAUUAACCAGCAUGUAACAGUGAAGUCCUGCAAGUGGGGUGAGAUCACUCAAGGAGGGUAGAAUAAGAAGAAAAGGGGCACUAAGAAGAAUCUACCUCCAUAUUUAAGGAGUCUGCAGCGGAAGAGAAAUCUACAAGGGAUCCUGAAAAGGAGCAGAGAAGUAGGAAAUAGCCUGUAAGCCAAAGGAGGGGACAGUUCGAGAAAACACAGAGAGGUCCGGGGAAAUAUCAACUGAAAAGUAAACCACUGGGCUUUCCAAUUAGGUGGCCACUAGCGAUCUCACCAAAGGCUGUUUCAUGGAUUGGUGAGGAUAGAACCUACAUUUCAACGCAUGCACAGUGCAUAAGAGGGGAGGAAAUAGAGACAGAAAUGAAAUUACUGUUUUCAAAAAGUUUGGUAGGGUCUGACAGUGUGAAAACUCAUUAUUCUAGAUUGCGUCCCAUAUGUAACAUAAAAUCAACUAAUCAAUAAAUAUUUAUUGUAAGCUUAUUACGUAUAAGCCAUUGUGCCAAAGUAUUACUAGUGUAAAAAAGAUAUUUAUGGCAUAGUCCUUGUUGUAAAGGAUACAAUUGUGAAGGAGAAAGUAUGCAAAUUCAUAAAUGCAUGUUUAAAAAGAAAGUUCUUCAGAAACCCUAAGAAAUCAAAUUAAAUAAAGCAUUUUUUAAAUAUGUUGGCCUUCAUUAUCUCUUUAAAAUUGUACAAAGAUUGCAUGUUCAUGAUUCUAAAAAGCAAGGAAAAUGUGUGCUCUUAAAAAAAUAAAUAUAAAAUAAAUUUGAUGCGUGAAAC
This is a long non-coding RNA of Equus asinus (donkey), 3906 nucleotides long. Lineage: Eukaryota; Metazoa; Chordata; Mammalia; Perissodactyla; Equidae. The record is from Ensembl.